UACGGAAGGCAGCAGUGGGGAAUAUUGCACAAUGGGCGAAAGCCUGAUGCAGCUAUGCCGCGUGUAUGAAGAAGGCCUUCGGGUUGUAAAGUACUUUCAGUCGUGAGGAAGGUGUUAAGGUUAAUAACCUUAGCAAUUGACGUUAGCGACAGAAGAAGCACCGGCUAACUCCGUGCCAGCAGCCGCGGUAAUACGGAGGGUGCGAGCGUUAAUCGGAAUUACUGGGCGUAAAGGGCACGCAGGCGGUUAAUUAAGUUGGAUGUGAAAUCCCCGGGCUUAACCUGGGAAUGGCAUUCAAGACUGGUUAGCUAGAGUCUUGUAGAGGGGGUAGAAUUCCAUGUGUAGCGGUGAAAUGCGUAGAGAUGUGGAGGAAUACCGGUGGCGAAGGCGGCCCCUGGACAAAGACUGACGCUCAUGUGCGAAAGCGUGGGGAGCAAACAGGGAUUAGAUACC
Molecule: ribosomal RNA, 453 nt
Filed under: uncultured bacterium
Lineage: Bacteria
Description: bacterial SSU rRNA
Rfam family: Bacterial small subunit ribosomal RNA
Source: RNAcentral